UUCCCCGGACUGUCGGCCAGGAGA
RNAcentral lists this non-coding RNA (24 nucleotides) under Cricetulus griseus (Chinese hamster). Lineage: Eukaryota; Metazoa; Chordata; Mammalia; Rodentia; Cricetidae. The record is from RNAcentral.